UACAGAGGGUGCGAGCGUUAAUCGGAAUUACUGGGCGUAAAGCGCACGUAGGCGGCUUGGUAUGUCGGGUGUGAAAUCCCCGGGCUCAACCUGGGAACUGCAUCCGAAACUGCCUUGCUCGAGUAUGGGAGAGGGAAGUGGAAUUUCCGGUGUAGCGGUGAAAUGCGUAGAUAUCGGAAGGAACAUCAGUGGCGAAGGCGACUUUCUGGUCUGUAACUGACACUGAGGCGCGAAAGCGUGGGGAGCAAACAGG
RNAcentral lists this ribosomal RNA (253 nucleotides) under uncultured bacterium. RNAcentral's name for it is "partial 16S ribosomal RNA". It matches the Rfam family "Bacterial small subunit ribosomal RNA", at positions 524 to 776 of the family's 1533-position model. The record is from RNAcentral.